UACGUAGGGGGCUAGCGUUAUCCGGAAUUACUGGGCGUAAAGGGUGCGUAGGUGGUUUCUUAAGUCAGAGGUGAAAGGCUACGGCUCAACCGUAGUAAGCCUUUGAAACUGGGAAACUUGAGUGCAGGAGAGGAGAGUGGAAUUCCUAGUGUAGCGGUGAAAUGCGUAGAUAUUAGGAGGAACACCAGUUGCGAAGGCGGCUCUCUGGACUGUAACUGACGCUGAGGCACGAAAGCGUGGGGAGCAAACAGGAUUAGAUACCCGCGUAGUCCCUGAGCGGG
This 281-nucleotide ribosomal RNA is filed under the name uncultured prokaryote. Its description in RNAcentral is "partial 16S ribosomal RNA". It matches the Rfam family "Bacterial small subunit ribosomal RNA", at positions 524 to 803 of the family's 1533-position model. The record is from RNAcentral.